Molecule: ribosomal RNA, 668 nt
Filed under: fungal sp. 37 GM 07-23
Lineage: Eukaryota; Fungi
Description: eukaryotic LSU rRNA
Rfam family: 5.8S ribosomal RNA (bases 220-373)
Source: RNAcentral
CUUGGUCAUUUAGAGGAAGUAAAAGUCGUAACAAGGUUUCCGUAGGUGAACCUGCGGAAGGAUCAUUCAUAAUAAGUGUUCUACUGCACUUUUUAAAAAUAGUACUCACCUUGUGUGCAAUGUUUGUUAGACUCUUUCGGGAGUCUGACAUUUAUACCAACCUUUUAUAUUUUGAACCACUUUGUCUGAAAAAUAUUAUGAAUACUUAAUUCUAAAUACAACUUUCAACAACGGAUCUCUUGGCUCUCGCAUCGAUGAAGAACGCAGCGAAAUGCGAUACGUAAUGUGAAUUGCAGAAUUCAGUGAAUCAUCGAAUCUUUGAACGCACAUUGCACUCUCUGGUAUUCCGGAGAGUAUGCUUGUUUGAGUAUCAGUAAACACCUCAAAUCUCUACUUUAUUGUAAAGAAUUGGACUUGAGCAAUCCCAACUCUCGCAAGAGAGGAGGGUUGCUUGAAAUGCAGGUGCAGCUAGACAUUCUUCUGAGCUAAAAGCAUAUUUAUUUAGUCCCGUCAAACGGAUUAUUACUUUUGCUCUAGCUAAUAUAAAGGUUGAUUGCGCUACAUGCUGACUGAUGCAGGAUUCACAAGAACCGCAAGGUUUUUGUAAACUCGAUCUCAAAUCAAGUAAGACUACCCGCUGAACUUAAGCAUAUCAAUAAGCGGAGGAA